CUACGGGAGGCUGCAGUUUCGAAUCAUUCACAAUGGGCGAAAGCCUGAUGGUGCGACGUCGCGUGGGGAAUGAAGGUCUUAGGAUUGUAAACCCCUGUCACCAGGGACUAAACGCAGGGUGCAUAACUCUGCCUGAAUUAACCUGGAGAGGAAGAGGUGGCUAACUCUGUGCCAGCAGCCGCGGUAAUACAGAGACCUCGAGCGUUACUCGGAUUCACUGGGCGUAAAGGGAGCGUAGGCGGGUAGAUGUGUCAGAUGUAAAAGACCGGGGCUUAACUCCGGACAUGCGUCCGAAACUAUCUAUCUAGAGUAUCAUAGGGGCAAGCGGAAUUGCCGGUGUAGCGGUGAAAUGCGUAGAUAUCGGAAAGAACACCAAUGGCGAAGGCAGCUUGCUGGAGGAUAACUGACGCUGAGGCUCGAAAGCGUGGGGAGCAAAAGGGAUUAGAUACCCGAGUAGUC
This 459-nucleotide ribosomal RNA is filed under the name uncultured bacterium. RNAcentral describes it as "partial 16S ribosomal RNA". It matches the Rfam family "Bacterial small subunit ribosomal RNA", at positions 339 to 795 of the family's 1533-position model. The record is from RNAcentral.